RNAcentral lists this ribosomal RNA (253 nucleotides) under uncultured bacterium. RNAcentral describes it as "partial 16S ribosomal RNA". It matches the Rfam family "Bacterial small subunit ribosomal RNA", at positions 524 to 776 of the family's 1533-position model. The record is from RNAcentral.
UACGUAGGGUGCGAGCGUUAAUCGGAAUUACGGGGCGUAAAGCGUGCGCAGGCGGCGCGUUAAGACAGGUGUGAAAGCCCCGAGCUUAACUUGGGAAUUGCGCUUGUGACUGGCGUGCUGGAGUGUGGCAGAGGGAGGUGGAAUUCCACGUGUAGCAGUGAAAUGCGUAGAGAUGUGGAGGAACACCGAUGGCGAAGGCAGCCUCCUGGGCCAGCACUGACGCUCAUGCACGAAAGCGUGGGGAGCAAACAGG